RNAcentral lists this ribosomal RNA (253 nucleotides) under uncultured bacterium. RNAcentral's name for it is "partial 16S ribosomal RNA". It matches the Rfam family "Bacterial small subunit ribosomal RNA", at positions 524 to 776 of the family's 1533-position model. The record is from RNAcentral.
UACGUAGGGGGCUAGCGUUGUCCGGAAUCAUUGGGCGUAAAGAGCGCGUAGGCGGCCAGAUAAGUCCGGUGUGAAAGUCAAAGGCUCAACCUUUGAAUGCCGCUGGAAACUGUUUGGCUAGAGUCCGGAAGAGGAGAAUGGAAUUCCUGGUGUAGCGGUGAAAUGCGCAGAUAUCAGGAAGAACACCCGUGGCUAAGGCGGUUCUCUAGUACGGUACUGACGCUGAGACGCGAAAGCGUGGGGAGCGAACAGG